GCCAGGCAUGGUGGCGCAUGCCUAUAAUCCCAGCUACUCAGGAGGCUGAGGCAGAAGAAUCGCUUGAACCCAGGAGGCAUAGGUUGCAGUGAGCUGAGAUUGCGCCACUGCACUCCAGCCUGGGUGACAAAGUGAGACUCCAUCUCAA
RNAcentral lists this non-coding RNA (148 nucleotides) under Pan troglodytes (chimpanzee). The record is from Rfam by way of RNAcentral. Lineage: Eukaryota; Metazoa; Chordata; Mammalia; Primates; Hominidae.